Molecule: ribosomal RNA, 473 nt
Filed under: uncultured bacterium
Lineage: Bacteria
Description: SSU rRNA
Rfam family: Bacterial small subunit ribosomal RNA
Source: RNAcentral
AGGAUUAACGCUGGCGGCGUGCAUGAGACAUGCAAGUCGAGCGGACACUCAGGGCUUGCCUUGAGUGUUAGUGGCGGACGGCUGAGUAACGCGUAGGUGACCUGCCCCGAAGUGGGGAAUAACUGCCCGAAAGGGUGGCUAAUACCGCAUGUGGUGAUGCGUUCAUUCGCAUCAGUAAAGCCGCAAGGCGCUUCGGGAGGGGCCUGCGUCCGAUUAGCUCGUUGGUGAGGUAACGGCUCACCAAGGCGACGAUCGGUAGGUGGUCUGAGAGGACGAUCACCCAGACUGGGACUGAGACACGGCCCAGACUCCUACGGGAGGCAGCAGUCGGGAAUUUUUGCGCAAUGGGCGAAAGCCUGACGCAGCAACGCCGCGUGAGGGAUGACGGCCUUCGGGUUGUAACCUCUUUUGUCAGGGAAGAUAAUGACGGUACCUGGCGAAUAAGCCACGGCUAACUACGUGCCAGCAGCCGC